GUCCACGCCCUAAACGAUGACGACUAGUUGUUGGAGGAGUUAAAUCCUUCAGUAACGCAGCUAACGCGUGAAGUCGUCCGCCUGGGGAGUACGGUCGCAAGAUUAAAACUCAAAGGAAUUGACGGGGGCCCGCACAAGCGGUGGAUGAUGUGGUUUAAUUCGACGCAACGCGAAAAACCUUACCUACCCUUGACAUGUGAGGAACCCUGCAGAGAUGCAGGGGUGCCCGAAAGGGAACCUCAACACAGGUGCUGCAUGGCUGUCGU
This 266-nucleotide ribosomal RNA is filed under the name uncultured bacterium. RNAcentral describes it as "partial 16S ribosomal RNA". It matches the Rfam family "Bacterial small subunit ribosomal RNA", at positions 793 to 1055 of the family's 1533-position model. The record is from RNAcentral.